GGCUUCAUAGCUCAGUUGGUCAGUAGAGCAUCGCACCAGUAACGCGGAAGUCAUGGGUUAAAAUCCCAUUGAAACCA
Non-coding RNA from Desmophyllum pertusum, 77 nucleotides. Lineage: Eukaryota; Metazoa; Cnidaria; Anthozoa; Scleractinia; Caryophylliidae. The record is from the annotation of a GenBank genome assembly.